This 693-nucleotide unclassified non-coding RNA is filed under the name Hevea brasiliensis (rubber tree). The record is from RNAcentral. Lineage: Eukaryota; Viridiplantae; Streptophyta; Magnoliopsida; Malpighiales; Euphorbiaceae.
AUAUGAUGGAUUUCUAGCUCAGGUAUUUUUUCCUUGAAUAUUACUAUUAAUAUUACUUUCUGGUCACACGAAUUGAUAUUGGGCAAAUGAAAUUGUAUUGACUUGUUACUUUCUUUGGUUGAAAAAAAAAAUUAUUGUAAUGUAAUGUGAAUUAUUAGGCCAAUUAACAAUUGAUGACACACAAUAAAUCUUAAAUGGGUAGAUGGAGUGAUUUGAAUUCGAAACAAGUGGGUGGAAAAAGGGCAAUCAAGCUACUGCUUAUUUGCUUACCACUACUCUGUGUGUGUGUGUGUGUGUUUUUAAUAAUACCACUACUUUAGUUAAUAUAAAUAUAUAAUGCUCAUUAUACAUAAAAAUAUAUAAUUUAUUGUUAUUACUUCAUAUGUUUGGUUGCUUUUUUUACUUCCAUCACUCCACCACUAGAGGUGUGAGAUUUCAGUUCUGGUUUGAGGUCUGUUUAGGAAAUCUGGUACGGUUUGGUUAUUCAAUGUUUGAGUUCCGGUUCUAGUUCAAUAUUGUUUUGAUUCAGGUUUUGCUUUUUGAACAAUUUUUAAAAGUGGUAUUUAAGCAUUAAAGUUAGUUAUUAAUACACAAAAUAUCAUAUAAUAUAUUUUUUAGCUAUUUUUAAAUAAUAUAAUAUUAAACUAUAAGGUAGAUAUAUAAUUAUACAAUCUUUAACUAUAAGAUACAUAU